This is a long non-coding RNA of Mangifera indica (mango), 2372 nucleotides long. RefSeq lists it as uncharacterized. The record is from RefSeq and is a predicted model, not a curated record. The transcript has 2 exons. Lineage: Eukaryota; Viridiplantae; Streptophyta; Magnoliopsida; Sapindales; Anacardiaceae.
UCAACAUAGGAAACCUAAUUAUUGUGGGAUUAUUACUACUAGAAUUUGAUUUGGUGGAUUAUGAUUAUGAUUAAUAUAUGAUGGUGUGAUUAGGUCAUGAUGAUGAUCUCGCGGUGCACAUGGGAUUCGAAAUCACUUUCUAAAGAGAAAAAGAGAGAAAGAGAAAGAGGGGGCUGAAUUCUAUAAAUAUUGCGUUGCAUGUUUUAGAUUAGAGACGAUGAGAUGGAUGAAUGAGCUGUGUGAUAAGAGAGAGACAGCAGAAGAUGGGAGUCGUGGUCAUUUCUGGAGAAGUAGGGUCAGAGGGGCCUGCUGCUUUUAUUACUUUGUUUGUCCUUUUCACCUUCUUCUCCGUCUAUCUUCCUUCUCAGCCUUUUCAUCUCUUCCUUUUCUUUUAUUCUGAUUUCUCACUCACUCACACACUCUUCAAUCUUCAUCGACUCACACACAAUUUCAAACCCAUCUCUCUCUUUCGACGUUCUUGUCAAUUGGGUUUGUCAAACACUGGAGAAACAACAAGAUGAGAGGAAGCUUUUUCUUUGAGGGGAAUGUUGUCUGGCCCGAGGCCACCAACUGGAUCUGUGAUUUAUCUCAAUCGAUCUUAUAAAAAAGAAAAAAAAUUAAAAAAAGAAACAAUAGAGAUAUUGAUCAUGAUCUUGAGUUUAUGACGUCGGACCAGGCUUCAUUCCCCCCAAUUAUUGCUUCUAUUUACACAUGUUAAUUCUUAUUUUGGAGUCGAUCUGAAGAGAGAUCAAGGUCAUCGGACAUGAGCAGAUUGGUGUAAUGAUGAAAGGUUUUGACUGCUUUUGAACUCUUUUUCUGACUGAAAUGGAAAAGAUCAUCAUUACACUUAUAUAAUGGAUCAGGGUUUGUGUUCAUUGUCAGUAUAACUCUUUUUGGUUUCAUCAUUGAAUUGAUUUCUUUCAUGAUGGCUUCAAGAAUCUUCUCUGUCUGUUUCUGCUCUUUCUUGAUCUUACUCGGCUACUGCCUUCUUGGCUUCUUUUUUAACGCUCUCACUACCACCACCCACCAUUUCCUCCACCAUCCACUCAGCAUACUUUUUGAACUCUUUAACCUUUUGUGAUGGCUUUUUCUUAGGGUUUCAAGGUUUAUAUGUGGUGGAUGGUCUCACAUGCUCAGAUAAGGCGUACCGAAAUCUCAUAUGUUAACAUUGAUAUAACUUGUAACCUAUACAUUAUACUUCUUUAAGCUUCGUCACGAAGUAUCUGAAAAACCAUUGUGGUAUACUUGGUUUUGUCCUGUUGUUUAUAUAUGUAUAUUGUUUUUAAGUGGUGGUGGGUUGAAUGUGGGAGCUGCGUAAUCUCCGCCCUGUUUUGUUUAGUUUCUGCUGCUUUAUCACUGAUCAGCUUGGUACUUUUCCAAAGAUGCUUGGAUCUAUUAUAAUGGUCAACCGAUAACCCUUACAAUGCUCAAGAGAUGAGCUUCAUAUUCUCUCACUGCGAAUAUAUAUAUAUUAUAUUAUAUUAUAUUAUAUUAUAUUUUUGUUGGUAUUUGUAAAUUGUAGGUAAUAAUAUCUUUGUGCAUCAGGUUCUUUUAUUCUCAGAAGAUUUUUUCUUUAUCCAAGAUUUGAUCCUUUCAAUGGUGCUAGCUUUUGCGAACCGUAUGAGUCACACUUUCUAUUGCUUAAAGAAAGGUGAAAGAAUAAUAUUUCAGAACACAGAUGUAAACUUACUGAUCUGUAUUUGAGAAGCAGCUUCCAACUUUAUGAUGUUUUAAUCAACCCUAGCUUGCGGCUCUCAGAAAUGUUAGAUGAACCACUGAUUCGUUUAGUCUUUUAGUCUUGUCUAUACAUAAACAGAUCAAGUUUAGAAAGAUGUAAAAUAAUUUCUCUUUCACAAUCAUCCCUUUCCUGGUUUCACUGUACCAAAUCCGCAUCAGAUUAGGACUUUAAUAUUUCUUUCACAAUUUUGCUUGAGUGUCUCACAUUUAUCGUUUAAAAAAGCCUUUGCAAGCAUUGGGUUGCUAUCUUGUGUUUUAGUUUGCUUGUGUUGCUAGUGGAGCUGUUCAGGGCACAGGAAGUGUACAGAAAACUAUGUUGAAAGGUGAAUCAGCAGGUGAUUGAAAGGGAGAAGCGUCAUCAAGAGGGCAAGCAUAGUUGAUUAAUGGUGCGUGGUUAGUGUUGUGCGCCUCACAUUCUGCCAUCAUUUUCUGAACCUGAGUCAUAUGGAAACACUGAAUGCCUUUACUGGUCUGACUUUCUCUUUCUCUUUUAUUACUGCACAGAGUUGAGUCAGCAUCUGAAUUGACUCCAUGGAUUCCUCUUUAUCCACACUCUGUGAUUAAUAUUGACUACCACCUUGUAUCUCUUGAACAGAACUGUGUGCAAUUAAACGCAUUGUUUUUAUCUUUUUAAA